This 847-nucleotide ribosomal RNA is filed under the name uncultured Bacillota bacterium. RNAcentral describes it as "bacterial SSU rRNA". It matches the Rfam family "Bacterial small subunit ribosomal RNA", at positions 71 to 896 of the family's 1533-position model. Lineage: Bacteria; Bacillati; Bacillota. The record is from RNAcentral.
AAAGUCCCGCAAGGGAUCAGUAGAGUGGCAAACGGGUGAGUAACGCGUGGGUGACCUGCCUUCGAGCGGGGGAUAACGUUCCGAAAGGGACGCUAAUACCGCAUGACAUCCUGCCUUUCAAGAGGUGGAGAUCAAAGCCGGGGAUCGCAAGACCUGGCACUCGAAGAGGGGCCCGCGUCCGAUUAGCUAGUUGGUGAGGUAACGGCUCACCAAGGCGACGAUCGGUAGCCGGCCUAAGAGGGCGGACGGCCACACUGGGACUGAGACACGGCCCAGACUCCUACGGGAGGCAGCAGUGGGGAAUUGUUCGCAAUGGGCGCAAGCCUGACGACGCAACGCCGCGUGGAGGAUGAAGAUCUUCGGGUCGUAAACUCCUUUCGAUCGAGACGAAUUCCUCCGGGGUGAACAAUCCCGGGGGUUGACGGUACCGAGAGAAGAAGCCCCGGCUAACUCCGUGCCAGCAGCCGCGGUAAUACGGGGGGGGCAAGCGUUGUUCGGAAUUACUGGGCGUAAAGGGCUCGUAGGCGGCCAACUAAGUCAGACGUGAAAUCCCUCGGCUCAACCGGGGAACUGCGUCUGAAACUGGAUGGCUCGAGUUUGGGAGAGGGAUGCGGAAUUCCAGGUGUAGCGGUGAAAUGCGUAGAUAUCUGGAGGAACACCGGUGGCGAAGGCGGCAUCCUGGACCAACACUGACGCUGAGGAGCGAAAGCCAGGGGAGCAAACGGGAUUAGAUACCCCGGUAGUCCUGGCCCUAAACGAUGAAUGCUUGGUGUGGCGGGUAUCGAUCCCUGCCGUGCCGAAGCUAACGCAUUAAGCAUUCCGCCUGGGGAGUACGGUCGCAAGGCUG